UACGUAGGUGGCAAGCGCUGUCCGGAUUUACUGGGCGUAAAGAGCGCGCAGGCGGUCGAGUAAGUCGAAUGUGAAAGCCCCCGGCUUAACUGGGGAGGGUCAUUCGAUACUGUUCGACUUGAAGGCAGGAGAGGGCAGCAGAAUUCCCGGUGUAGUGGUGAAAUGCGUAGAUAUUCGCAAGAACACCAGUGGCGAAGGCGGCUCACUGGCCCGGUACUGACGCUGAGGUGCGAAAGCGUGGGGAGCAAACAGG
RNAcentral lists this ribosomal RNA (253 nucleotides) under uncultured bacterium. RNAcentral's name for it is "partial 16S ribosomal RNA". It matches the Rfam family "Bacterial small subunit ribosomal RNA", at positions 524 to 776 of the family's 1533-position model. The record is from RNAcentral.